UACGUAGGGGGCAAGCGUUGUCCGGAAUUAUUGGGCGUAAAGAGCGCGUAGGCGGUCCGAUAAGUCGGCUGUGAAAGUCAGGGGCUCAACCCUUGAAAGCCGGCCGAUACUGUCGGACUAGAGUCCGGAAGAGGCAAGUGGAAUUCCCGGUGUAGCGGUGAAAUGCGCAGAUAUCGGGAGGAACACCAAUGACGAAGGCAGCUUGCUGGGACGGUACUGACGCUGAGGCGCGAAAGCGUGGGGAGCAAACAGG
RNAcentral lists this ribosomal RNA (253 nucleotides) under uncultured bacterium. Its description in RNAcentral is "partial 16S ribosomal RNA". It matches the Rfam family "Bacterial small subunit ribosomal RNA", at positions 524 to 776 of the family's 1533-position model. The record is from RNAcentral.